This 253-nucleotide ribosomal RNA is filed under the name uncultured bacterium. Its description in RNAcentral is "partial 16S ribosomal RNA". It matches the Rfam family "Bacterial small subunit ribosomal RNA", at positions 524 to 776 of the family's 1533-position model. The record is from RNAcentral.
GACGUAGGGCGCAAGCGUUGUCCGGAUUUAUUGGGCGUAAAGGGUGCGUAGGUGGCGCUGUAAGUCGGGUGUGAAAUUUCGGAGCUUAACUCCGAAACUGCAUUCGAUACUGCGGUGCUUGAGGACUGGAGAGGAGACUGGAAUUCAUGGUGUAGCAGUGAAAUGCGUAGAGAUCAUGAGGAAGACCAGUGGCGAAGGCGGGUCUCUGGACAGUUCCUGACACUGAGGCACGAAGGCCAGGGGAGCAAACGGG